CACGGAUUGGGUGUACCAGACGGUGGAACCAGGUUGUCCAUGUGGCUGCGAGCCUGGCGGCACAGGUAGCUGAAGGUGAUAACUCUUCCAUUCUUUAGCAUCAGAGAAAUCCCAGGAGUUCCUAAAUUUGCCACAGCCUUCCCACAGCAGCGUGUUCAGAGGGGACACGUUCUGUUUUCAGUUCAGGUGGUGUAAUGGUGGUUUGGACUUAGAGAAGUGAAUCUAUCUUCACAGCACUGAGUAAGAAGACCCCAUCUGGCUGAGAACUCGUAAGCAGUCCUGUUACAUCUUCUGAUCUUGCUCCUGGCUGAUUAAUCUUACUGAAGAGUAAGAGGUGUAUGGAAAAAAACAAACUUGAGGAAAAAAAUGUUUCUACGGUAACCCUGAGAAAUCUCUUUAAAAGGAAUUUGUUUCCUGUUUGACCCUCAUCUGUGAGUACAUUUGGAUUUCAUUGUGCAUACAAAAUAUCUGGUGGUUGCAUUUCACACAGUUCCUCUGUAGAACCACUGGAAAUGUAAACAAGGUGCCAAAAGCUGAACUGCAGAGGGCAUAUGAGGAGUCUCUCAGCCUGGGGACAUGAACCCGUUCUGCUAAUCAGAGGAACAGGAUUGCAUCCAUUAUCACAAAUUACAGUCUCCCUUCUAUCCACAGAAGAGCUGCAGAGCCCAUAACAGGCAGGAUGAUUCAACUUUUUUUAAAAAUUUUUAUUUUUAUUUUAUUUUUUUUAGUCAUUGACCCAUUCUUGCUCUUUACCAUAAUACUAGAGUAUCCCAGAGUUCCUGUGUAUAAAGCUCAUGCCAUUUUAGAGGAACGAAGCCCUAUUACAGUGUCUGUGUUCAUUACAGAAACGAUAGCAUCAGUGACCUUGAACAGAAACCUUAAGGUGGCAACUGUCUGCACUGUUCUGUUUGCCAGACAACCACCCCCACGACCACUCCAUACAGAGCUGUUGUGGCCAGUUUUGCAAACAAUGUGCAAAAACUCUUGUGCUUGGUGGGAGGGGGCGUCGGUAUGUGUCAGAACUGAAUGCGUCACCCAAGUGAGUGCUUCUGGAUCCACUUGGUUGUGCUUCUCUGUAAAGUGUUUACAUAAGUGCACCCAAAAUAAAUUAUGUUCUGAUUACUUCA
Molecule: long non-coding RNA, 1127 nt
Organism: Oxyura jamaicensis (ruddy duck)
Lineage: Eukaryota; Metazoa; Chordata; Aves; Anseriformes; Anatidae
Exons: 4
Source: RefSeq, a predicted model, not a curated record